RNAcentral lists this ribosomal RNA (493 nucleotides) under uncultured bacterium. RNAcentral describes it as "partial 16S ribosomal RNA". It matches the Rfam family "Bacterial small subunit ribosomal RNA", at positions 29 to 508 of the family's 1533-position model. The record is from RNAcentral.
AGUGAACGCUGGCGGUAGGCCUAACACAUGCAAGUCGAACGGCAGCACAGUAAGAGCUUGCUCUUACGGGUGGCGAGUGGCGGACGGGUGAGGAAUACAUCGGAAUCUACUUUUUCGUGGGGGAUAACGUAGGGAAACUUACGCUAAUACCGCAUACGACCUACGGGUGAAAGCAGGGGAUCUUCGGACCUUGCGCGAGUGAAUGAGCCGAUGUCGGAUUAGCUAGGUGGCGGGGUAAAGGCCCACCAAGGCGAAGAUCCGUAGCUGGUCUGAGAGGAUGGUCAGCCCACCUGGGACUGGGGACCGGUCCAGACCCCUACGGGAGGGAGCAGGGGGGAAUAUUGGACAAUGGGCGCAAGCCUGAUCCAGCCAUACCGCGUGGGUGAAGAAGGCCUUCGGGUUGUAAAGCCCUUUUGUUGGGGAAGAAAAGCAGCAGGUUAAUACCCCGCUGUUCUGACGGUACCCAAAGAAUAAGCACCGGCUAACUUCGUGC